This 117-nucleotide non-coding RNA is filed under the name pig gut metagenome. RNAcentral describes it as "Moco (molybdenum cofactor) riboswitch". It matches the Rfam family "Molybdenum/Tungsten riboswitch aptamer (Moco RNA motif)", at positions 7 to 117 of the family's 135-position model. The record is from RNAcentral.
AUUGUUCUUUGAGCGAAAAUGUCUAAGCCUUCGGGUAUGAUAUUGAGCCGGGAUGAAACCUUGGUUUUGUCCCCAGGGUCGAACUGGAAACGGGUCGGCCUUCCCUAUUUGAAAAAA